Molecule: ribosomal RNA, 711 nt
Filed under: Serratia rubidaea
Lineage: Bacteria; Pseudomonadati; Pseudomonadota; Gammaproteobacteria; Enterobacterales; Yersiniaceae
Description: bacterial SSU rRNA
Rfam family: Bacterial small subunit ribosomal RNA
Source: RNAcentral
UCCUCGCCGGCGAGCGGCGGACGGGUGAGUAAUGUCUGGGGAUCUGCCCGAUGGAGGGGGAUAACCACUGGAAACGGUGGCUAAUACCGCAUAACGUCGCAAGACCAAAGUGGGGGACCUUCGGGCCUCACACCAUCGGAUGAACCCAGAUGGGAUUAGCUAGUAGGUGGGGUAAUGGCUCACCUAGGCGACGAUCCCUAGCUGGUCUGAGAGGAUGACCAGCCACACUGGAACUGAGACACGGUCCAGACUCCUACGGGAGGCAGCAGUGGGGAAUAUUGCACAAUGGGCGCAAGCCUGAUGCAGCCAUGCCGCGUGUGUGAAGAAGGCCUUCGGGUUGUAAAGCACUUUCAGCGAGGAGGAAGGUGGUGAGCUUAAUACGUUCAUCAAUUGACGUUACUCGCAGAAGAAGCACCGGCUAACUCCGUGCCAGCAGCCGCGGUAAUACGGAGGGUGCAAGCGUUAAUCGGAAUUACUGGGCGUAAAGCGCACGCAGGCGGUUUGUUAAGUCAGAUGUGAAAUCCCCGAGCUUAACUUGGAACUGCAUUUGAAACUGGCAAGCUAGAGUCUCGUAGAGGGGGGUAGAAUUCCAGGUGUAGCGGUGAAAUGCGUAGAGAUCUGGAGGAAUACCGGUGGCGAAGGCGGCCCCCUGGACGAAGACUGACGCUCAGGUGCGAAAGCGUGGGGAGCAAACAGGAUUAGAUACCCUGA